This 856-nucleotide long non-coding RNA is filed under the name Bos indicus x Bos taurus (hybrid cattle). Its description in RNAcentral is "lncRNA (ENSBIXG00000011089.1)". The record is from RNAcentral. Lineage: Eukaryota; Metazoa; Chordata; Mammalia; Artiodactyla; Bovidae.
AUGGUUGGCGCAUACUCUGGUGUGAAGGUGGGACUCCGCGAAGACGUCGCACAGUACCUGGAAUUGUGUAUUGUGCACAACCUUGUGCUGAGACAAGGGAAAACCGCCAUCUUAUUGCUCACUCAAUGCCUCCAUAACACCAAUUUUUCACUCCCGGGCUUUGCAGCAGCCCGGUGUACUUUCCAUAAUACGCCUAUUACACAGGCAUCCUCACUAGCCAUCGCUUACACAAUUACCCGUGUGAUUUUCUCCAUCCCGGCGUGGUUGCCAUCGUCUUCGGUCCCCACCCAGUAUAACUUCGGGAACCCAUGGAAACAGAUGACAUGUGCUAAUAACAGCAUCUUUGGGAAGAUGAUUUUGCUUUUCAUGAAGAAAGAAUGUUUUGAACUGUUGUACUGGAAUUUCAGUGCCUGCAAUGUUGAAGGUGACACCAGCUCGGAUAUGUAUUGUUUGGGGGUCAUAAAUGACCUUUGGAGCAUUUAUAAAAGUGGUAGUUACAGAAAACUUAUUAUCCUGAUGCUGAGAAGCAAACACUUUAAGAGGCACCUGGAACCCUGGUGCGCCGUUGCCAGACUCAGUUCAGAUUGAGAAACAGUGGGACCUGGGACUGAAACGCCUGCUGCCUGACCUCUGGAGGAUUUUCCUUUUUGGAGUUUUAAUAGGUGUCAUCAGCCCAGUAGGGGAGACUCUUGGCAAACUCGAGAUUUUCUCCUUCCAGAAGCUCACUGGUCCUGCCUCUGUGAAAGGGCCAAAUUUGUCAGUGGGAAAAGAAUUUUAAGAAGUAUCAUGAAGUAAACGAUUUUGCCAUGCUCUGGAUAUUGACCCUUACUAAUAAAGCUUCUUACAUUUUUAAACA